RNAcentral lists this ribosomal RNA (429 nucleotides) under Staphylococcus aureus. Its description in RNAcentral is "partial 23S ribosomal RNA". It matches the Rfam family "Bacterial large subunit ribosomal RNA", at positions 2341 to 2769 of the family's 2925-position model. Lineage: Bacteria; Bacillati; Bacillota; Bacilli; Caryophanales; Staphylococcaceae. The record is from RNAcentral.
UUCAUAGAGUGUAAAGGCAUAAGGGAGCUUGACUGCGAGACCUACAAGUCGAGCAGGGUCGAAAGACGGACUUAGUGAUCCGGUGGUUCCGCAUGGAAGGGCCAUCGCUCAACGGAUAAAAGCUACCCCGGGGAUAACAGGCUUAUCUCCCCCAAGAGUUCACAUCGACGGGGAGGUUUGGCACCUCGAUGUCGGCUCAUCGCAUCCUGGGGCUGUAGUCGGUCCCAAGGGUUGGGCUGUUCGCCCAUUAAAGCGGUACGCGAGCUGGGUUCAGAACGUCGUGAGACAGUUCGGUCCCUAUCCGUCGUGGGCGUAGGAAAUUUGAGAGGAGCUGUCCUUAGUACGAGAGGACCGGGAUGGACAUACCUCUGGUGUACCAGUUGUCGUGCCAACGGCAUAGCUGGGUAGCUAUGUGUGGAAGGGAUAAGU